UCGCUAGUAAUCGCGAAUCAGAAUGUCGCGGUGAAUACGUUCCCGGGUCUUGUACACACCGCCCGUCACACCGCGAGAGUUUACAACACCCGAAGUCAGUGGCCUAACCGCAAGGAGGGAGCUGCCUAAGGUGGGGUAGAUGAUUGGGGUGAAGUCGUAACAAGGUAGC
Molecule: ribosomal RNA, 169 nt
Filed under: uncultured bacterium
Lineage: Bacteria
Description: partial 16S ribosomal RNA
Rfam family: Bacterial small subunit ribosomal RNA
Source: RNAcentral